CCUACGGGAGGCUGCAGUGGGGAAUAUUGCGCAAUGGGCGAAAGCCUGACGCAGCGACGCCGCGUGAGGGAUGAAGGUCUUCGGAUCGUAAACCUCUGUCAGCAGGGAAGAACGGUCACUGUGCUAAUCAGCACAGAAUUGACGGUACCUGCAAAGGACGCACCGGCUAACUCCGUGCCAGCAGCCGCGGUAAUACGGAGGGUGCGAGCGUUAAUCGGAAUUAGUGGGCGUAAAGCGCUCGUAGGCGGUAUGUCAAGUCAAGGGUGAAAUCCCCGCGCUCAACGUGGGAACUGCAUUUGAAACUGGCAAACUGGAGUGUGUGAGAGGAUAGUGGAAUUCCAGGUGUAGGAGUGAAAUCCGUAGAUAUCUGGAGGAACAUCAGUGGCGAAGGCGACUAGCUGGAACAUAACUGACGCUGAGGAGCGAAAGCGUGGGUAGCAAACAGGAUUAGAUACCCUGGUAGUC
This 465-nucleotide ribosomal RNA is filed under the name uncultured bacterium. Its description in RNAcentral is "partial 16S ribosomal RNA". It matches the Rfam family "Bacterial small subunit ribosomal RNA", at positions 338 to 795 of the family's 1533-position model. The record is from RNAcentral.